Neoarius graeffei (lesser salmon catfish) is the source of this 2635-nucleotide long non-coding RNA. RefSeq lists it as uncharacterized. The transcript is spliced from 3 exons. The record is from RefSeq and is a predicted model, not a curated record. NCBI's taxonomy places the organism in Eukaryota, Metazoa, Chordata, Actinopteri, Siluriformes, Ariidae.
UUGGCUAAGAUCAAGUGUAGUAUCUGUUCUUAUCAGUUUAAUAUCUGAUACGUCCUCUAUCCGGGGACCAUAUAUUAAAUUGAUUUUUGGAACAGGGAGAUGGAAUAGGAGCUUGCUCCGUCCACUCCACGCAUUGACUCAGUAUUGCAGUACUUCUGAGAACGGUGCACCUCCUUUAUACAGUAGAAGAGCAGAAAAAAAAUCCGUUCGUGGAUGACUAGUGAUCAGGAUAUUUGCGUGGAAAAUAUGAAGAUACUGCAUACAUCUUUGAAAAGUUUAUGUGUUGUCACGCCACUCCAGCCCAGCAGGACAUUUCAGCUCCUCAGCAGCAAGGUGGAGCCAGAAUGUUUCCUGAACCCCGAGUGUGACUCUCCACACAUGGUGUUUCAGCUGUGCUCUGGAAAUGUAGCGGCAGCCAGCAUCCUCUUUGACAUGGACUUUAGCAUUGCCGGGUCCUUGACUCUGACGGCCUUGAUGAGUGGCUCCAGGUCCGCACGGCUGUAGGCCAUCACUGCCCCAGCCAGCGCAGACUUGAACACAGUCUACUUGGAGUGUGACUGUGCAGAUAGCUUCGUUAAACCAGUGGCUCAUGUCCAGACACACAACCAUCCCAUUGUCCACCCAAGGCUGGAACAAAGUCUCCACUGCUGUCGGGCCCUGUCCAUGGCAACAACCACAGUCCAUGUACAGGACUGGUUUUGGGGAUUGGUUGAUUGUCCAGCUGAAACUGUUCCGUGACUCCACGGCACAUCGGUUCCAGCUUCUUGGUGGACUCCUCGCAGGUCAGCACAAAAACUACUUGGGAGUGCUCAUUUCCGAUGCUGGUGAACCACUUGGCUGAGCAUUUACCCUCAGUACUUUGUUGAUGGAAUCCAUUUUCAGCACCGCGCCAAAAGUGGAGAGGAUCUUGCUCUGGUAAUCCUGCACGUUGUUGGCCUUCACCAGUAGGAGGGCGUGGCACAGAGGGAAGCUCUCUUGGAGGAGGUGGAGCCUGGAACGUGUGCCCUAAUGCAGAGGCGAUCCCUCUGGAUUCCUCUACGGUCAUGAGUGUGGUAUAUAGUUUCAUAUGUUAGAGGUACUCCUCAACGUGAUUCUUCUGUAUUUGCCGCCAUACCUUGACCAUAGUGUUCCCUUGGGUCUAGUUUCUCAGAAGGUGCAUGACAUUCUUAUCCACACCAUGCCUGUGAGCAGGGUCACCAUCGAUAUGUUGAGGUUGAGUUGGGCCACUACUUUAAAGUUUACUAAAAGCACACACAUGAUGUUCAGGAAUACUCAUUUGCUGGUGAGGAUGUCAGGGAACAUGGCUUGAUGAACCUUGCUAAUUUGCAAUAAAAUAGUGGGGUCCCACACAAGCCACUGAUGCAUUGUGCAAUCUCCUCUGCUCCGGGCUGCUUUAUUUACACGGUCCCCAGCACAAGACCUUGGUGAGCAUUGUGUACCAGUUGGACAGGCCACAGAUGUUAUGUACCUGAAGUACAUACAGUGGGAUUAAAACAAAUAAUCAACUGCAGCGGAUGACUUUCUAUGCUCCUUUUUUUUCCCCUUGCGUGUUUACAUACAUAGUAAUAACGAUUCAACUGUAAUGUAAUAACCAGCAUGCACAAAGUGAGUUAUACUCAGUGGUGGUAGCCAGACUUAGAGAAGUGCACGUUCUGUCCUGUACCCACACACAUCACAUCGACACUUCAGGGAGCACCUCCACACUCCAAUGGGGCACCACACAAAGAGCGGCUCCAAAAAAAAAAAAAAAAAAAGAGCUGCAGAGUUGGCAGAGCACCCCCGACAUAGCCAGGAAACUCUGGCGAGUAAAACCACAUGUGGGCUUCUUUAAUCACCUGGCGCCUCUUGAACAGACCGGCAUUGUCCUUGUAUGUUUAAACAUGACUGAACAACCCUCUUUCAGUGUCCUCUGAGCCAGGAAACACAAAACCAAUUUUAAACUAGAAGGGCACUUGGUAGAGUGCAUACCUCCCCCAAGCUAUAGACCCUUUUCAGUCACGUGACCUUCGUAAACGCGACCACCAUUUUGGACAUGUAGUGGACUUCGGCUCGAAUCAGUUUGAAUGCGAGGAAGGCGACAAACGAAAAACAUAAAAGAAAAAGGAGCGAGAUGCAGAAAACACCUUCACUAUCCAGCGACGUAGGGCAUUUACAGGGCAAGCAGAGGGAGAGGUAUUUGCAAAAAUUAAGGUUAGCAGGCUUAGAGAACGAUGUUUACCUGCUUCCACCAGGAUUGUUCACUGACGUACGCUCCGGCUUGCUCCCCCUCAAAUUAAGCAGCGCGCUCCGCUCAUUUAUGAAAAUAAAUAAAUGGAGAAAAAAAGGUUUCUGCCUUGUAAAAAUGUCCUCAAACGGUCUGGACAACACAGUGUACAACAACUAUGAACACCUAUGGCGUGGACAAGUUGGAGGGAUGAACUGUAAAUAAUAAAUCUGUAAAUAUGGCAUGUAAAUAGUUUUCACUUUUGACAUUUCAUUCUUAAUCAUGUUCAGUGAUAAACUAUGGUGCUGUGGCAUUGUCAGUAAUUUAUUCAGUAAGCUGAGCUGGAGGGAAGAAUCUAAAUAAUUGCAUCUCAUUGGACAAAUCAAGUUUUUUUUUUUCAUUACUUCAUUCUUCAUGUUCAUUGAUUGUAGU